This 531-nucleotide long non-coding RNA is filed under the name Malus domestica (apple). RNAcentral describes it as "long non-coding RNA (MDOM_LNC007708)". Lineage: Eukaryota; Viridiplantae; Streptophyta; Magnoliopsida; Rosales; Rosaceae. The record is from RNAcentral.
UUCGUCGUCGGAAAGGCAGCCAAGGCUACGUCGUUUGGAUCGCCUCCCGGACUUGCUAUGUCGCUCAUCCUCCAGAUCUUGACAUCACCGGAGUUUACCGGAUUCUGCAAAGAAGAUGUAGAAAUUGUCCAGGGUUAGAAUCAGUUUAUUCCUUCACCAAACUAAAUCAAAACCCUCCAGAAUUGAUGGAAAUAUUCAGAGGUUAAGAAUAGAAAUAGAAAUAAAUCUGAAACGAAAGCACAUGCAUGUGUUAGAUCUUGCUCUAUUUCAGUCCAACACAUAAAUCUGAAACGAAAGAACAAAAAAAAUUAACACACAUGGAGGAGGGAUUUACCUUCAUGCAUCUCAGUUUUCAUGAUUAUAGAGACACAGGGGUGUGUAUGUUGCUGGGCUUCAGGUUGCAGACAAUAAUGAAGAGCUAUGAGAGAGAGUGGAGCUGCUGUGAGAGAGAAGGCUGUAAGAAUGGGCGUUGGGCUUGAGGUUGGAGAAAUAAGAGCAUCUCUCAUAUUCUAGAGAGAGAGUGAGAGAGUG